ACGCUGGCGGCAUGCUUUACACAUGCAAGUCGGACGGCAGCACAGAGAAGCUUGCUUCUUGGGUGGCGAGUGGCGAACGGGUGAGUAAUAUAUCGGAACGUACCGAGUAAUGGGGGAUAACUAAUCGAAAGAUUAGCUAAUACCGCAUAUUCUCUGAGGAGGAAAGCAGGGGACCUUCGGGCCUUGCGUUAUUCGAGCGGCCGAUAUCUGAUUAGCUAGUUGGUGGGGUAAAGGCCUACCAAGGCGACGAUCAGUAGCGGGUCUGAGAGGAUGAUCCGCCACACUGGGACUGAGACACGGCCCAGACUCCUACGGGAGGCAGCAGUGGGGAAUUUUGGACAAUGGGCGCAAGCCUGAUCCAGCCAUGCCGCGUGUCUGAAGAAGGCCUUCGGGUUGUAAAGGACUUUUGUCAGGGAAGAAAAGGCUGUUGCUAAUACCGACAGCUGAUGACGGUACCUGAAGAAUAAGCACCGGCUAACUACGUGCCAGCAGCCGCGGUAAUACGUAGGGUGCGAGCAUUAAUCGGAAUUACUGGGCGUAAAGCGAGCGCAGACGGUUACUUAAGCAGGAUGUGAAAUCCCCGGGCUCAACCUGGGAACUGCGUUCUGAACUGGGUGACUAGAGUGUGUCAGAGGGAGGUAGAAUUCCACGUGUAGCAGUGAAAUGCGUAGAGAUGUGGAGGAAUACCGAUGGCGAAGGCAGCCUCCUGGGAUAACACUGACGUUCAUGCUCGAAAGCGUGGGUAGCAAACAGGAUUAGAUACCCUGGUAGUCCACGCCCUAAACGAUGUCAAUUAGCUGUUGGGCAACUUGAUUGCUUAGUAGCGUAGCUAACGCGUGAAAUUGACCGCCUGGGGAGUACGGUCGCAAGAUUAAAACUCAAAGGAAUUGACGGGGACCCGCACAA
RNAcentral lists this ribosomal RNA (906 nucleotides) under uncultured bacterium. Its description in RNAcentral is "bacterial SSU rRNA". It matches the Rfam family "Bacterial small subunit ribosomal RNA", at positions 33 to 928 of the family's 1533-position model. The record is from RNAcentral.